Molecule: ribosomal RNA, 498 nt
Filed under: uncultured bacterium
Lineage: Bacteria
Description: partial 16S ribosomal RNA
Rfam family: Bacterial small subunit ribosomal RNA
Source: RNAcentral
AUUGAACGCUGGCGGCAUGCCUUACACAUGCAAGUCGAACGGUAACAGGUCUUCGGAUGCUGACGAGUGGCGAACGGGUGAGUAAUACAUCGGAACGUGCCUAGUAGUGGGGGAUAACUACUCGAAAGAGUGGCUAAUACCGCAUGAGAUCUACGGAUGAAAGCAGGGGAUCGCAAGACCUUGUGCUACUAGAGCGGCCGAUGGCAGAUUAGGUAGUUGGUGGGAUAAAAGCUUACCAAGCCGAAGAUCUGUCGCUGGUCUGAGAGGACGAUCAGCCACACUGGGACUGAGACACGGCCCAGACUCCUACGGGAGGCAGCAGUGGGGAAUUUUGGACAAUGGGCGCAAGCCUGAUCCAGCAAUGCCGCGUGCAGGAUGAAGGCCUUCGGGUUGUAAACUGCUUUUGUACGGAACGAAAAGCCCCGGGUUAAUACCCUGGGGUCAUGACGGUACCGUAAGAAUAAGCACCGGCUAACUACGUGCCAGCCGCCGCCGUAA